Molecule: RNase P RNA, 459 nt
Filed under: Treponema sp.
Lineage: Bacteria; Pseudomonadati; Spirochaetota; Spirochaetia; Treponematales; Treponemataceae
Description: RNase P RNA component class A
Rfam family: Bacterial RNase P class A
About the family: Ribonuclease P (RNase P) is a ubiquitous endoribonuclease, found in archaea, bacteria and eukarya as well as chloroplasts and mitochondria. Its best characterised activity is the generation of mature 5'-ends of tRNAs by cleaving the 5'-leader elements of precursor-tRNAs.
Source: RNAcentral
ACGAUGAACCAGACCGCCGCCGCGUGGUCGUCCCCAGUGACAGACGCGCGGAGGAAAGUCCGGGCUCCGCAGGACAUGAUGCCGGGUAAUUCCCGGGAGAAAAACAUGGAACCUUUGGUUCCAUGUUUUCGACAGACAGCGCAACAGAAAGCAAACCGCCAGGCGGUUUCCGGCAUGCCGGGAAUCGCAGGGUAAGGGUGAAACGGCGGGGUAAGAGCCCCCCUCGGCGGCGGCAACGCCGUUGGAACGGCAAGCCUCAUCAGGAGCAAAGUCAAGCAAGCGUGGUGAUUGACUACGUCAAUCACGCCGGUGGUCCGCCGGUUAAACGCGGGUAGACUGCAAUGGAAAGAUCCGGUAACGGAUCUUCAAGACAGAUGGCGGUUGGGCCUUCGAAGAAGGCCUUGCCAAAAACCUGCGGUUUUUGGCGUGACAGAACCCGGCUUACGGUUCAUCGUUUUU